Molecule: unclassified non-coding RNA, 390 nt
Filed under: soil metagenome
Description: partial contains 5.8S ribosomal RNA, internal transcribed spacer 2, and large subunit ribosomal RNA
Rfam family: 5.8S ribosomal RNA (bases 1-122)
Source: RNAcentral
GAUGAAGAACGUAGCGAAAUGCGAUACUUGGUGUGAAUUGCAGAAUCCCGUGAACCAUCGAGUCUUUGAACGCAAGUUGCGCCCGAAGCCACUAGGCCGAGGGCACGCCUGCCUGGGCGUCACACGUCGUUCCCCCCCCAUCUACUCCUUCGGGAUUGCAGGGGGCGGAUGAUGGCCUCCCGUGCGCCUCGCCGCGCGGUUGGCAUAAAUACCAAGUCCUCAACGACGCACGCCACGACAAUCGGUGGUUGCGAAACCUCGGUUGCCCGUCGUGUGCGUUCGUCGCGCAUCGAGGGCUCGAAAAAAUGCUCGGCUCCGGCUCGGCUUUCAACGCGACCCCAGGUCAGGCGGGGUUACCCGCUGAAUUUAAGCAUAUCAAUAAGCGGAGGA